UACGGAGGAUGCGAGCGUUAUCCGGAUUUAUUGGGUUUAAAGGGUGCGUAGGCGGACUGUCAAGUCAGCGGUAAAAUUGAGAGGCUCAACCUCUUCCCGCCGUUGAAACUGGUGUCUUGAGUGGAUGAGAAGUACGCGGAAUGCGUGGUGUAGCGGUGAAAUGCAUAGAUAUCACGCAGAACUCCGAUUGCGAAGGCAGCGUACCGGCAUCCAACUGACGCUGAGGCACGAAAGCGUGGGGAUCAAACAGG
This 251-nucleotide ribosomal RNA is filed under the name uncultured bacterium. RNAcentral describes it as "partial 16S ribosomal RNA". It matches the Rfam family "Bacterial small subunit ribosomal RNA", at positions 524 to 776 of the family's 1533-position model. The record is from RNAcentral.